AUACGUAGGGUGCGAGCGUUGUCCGGAAUUACUGGGCGUAAAGAGCUCGUAGGCGGUUUGUCACGUCGUCCGUGAAAACUCGGAGCUUAACUCCGAGCUUGCGGGCGAUACGGGCAGACUUGAGUACUACAGGGGAGACUGGAAUUCCUGGUGUAGCGGUGAAAUGCGCAGAUAUCAGGAGGAACACCGGUGGCGAAGGCGGGUCCCUGGGUAGUAACUGACGCUGAGGAGCGAAAGCAUGGGGAGCAAACAGGAUUAGAUACCCUGGUAGUCCAUGCCGUAAACGGUGGGCGCUAGGUGUGGGGUCCUUCCACGGAUUCCGUGCCGUAGCUAACGCAUUAAGCGCCCCGCCUGGGGAGUACGGCCGCAAGGCUAAA
This 377-nucleotide ribosomal RNA is filed under the name uncultured bacterium. RNAcentral's name for it is "bacterial SSU rRNA". It matches the Rfam family "Bacterial small subunit ribosomal RNA", at positions 523 to 898 of the family's 1533-position model. The record is from RNAcentral.